GAUGAACGCUGGCGGCGUGCCUAAUACAUGCAAGUCGAGCGAACAGACGAGGAGCUUGCUCCUCUGACGUUAGCGGCGGACGGGUGAGUAACACGUGGAUAACCUACCUAUAAGACUGGGAUAACUUCGGGAAACCGGAGCUAAUACCGGAUAAUAUAUUGAACCGCAUGGUUCAAUAGUGAAAGACGGUUUUGCUGUCACUUAUAGAUGGAUCCGCGCCGCAUUAGCUAGUUGGUAAGGUAACGGCUUACCAAGGCAACGAUGCGUAGCCGACCUGAGAGGGUGAUCGGCCACACUGGUACUGAGACACGGUCCAGACUCCUACGGGAGGCAGCAGUAGGGAAUCUUCCGCAAUGGGCGAAAGCCUGACGGAGCAACGCCGCGUGAGUGAUGAAGGUCUUCGGAUCGUAAAACUCUGUUAUUAGGGAAGAACAAAUGUGUAAGUAACUAUGCACGUCUUGACGGCACCUAAUCAGAAAGCCACGGCUAACUACGUG
RNAcentral lists this ribosomal RNA (497 nucleotides) under uncultured bacterium. Its description in RNAcentral is "partial 16S ribosomal RNA". It matches the Rfam family "Bacterial small subunit ribosomal RNA", at positions 28 to 507 of the family's 1533-position model. The record is from RNAcentral.